This 396-nucleotide ribosomal RNA is filed under the name uncultured bacterium. Its description in RNAcentral is "partial 16S ribosomal RNA". It matches the Rfam family "Bacterial small subunit ribosomal RNA", at positions 523 to 918 of the family's 1533-position model. The record is from RNAcentral.
AUACAGAGGGUGCGAGCGUUAAUCGGAUUUACUGGGCGUAAAGCGUGCGUAGGCGGCUUUUUAAGUCGGAUGUGAGAUCCCCGAGCUUAACUUGGGAAUUGCAUACGAUACUGGGGAGCUAGAGUAUGGGAGAGGAUGGUAGAAUUCCAGGUGUAGCGGUGAAAUGCGUAGAGAACUGGAGGAAUACCGAUGGCGAAGGCAGCCAUCUGGCCUAAUCCGGACGCUGAGGUACGAAAGCAUGGGGAGCAAACAGGAUUAGAUACCCUGGUAGUCCAUGCCGUAAACGAUGUCUACUAGCCGUUGGGGGAUUUGAUCCUUUAGUGGCGCAGCUAACGCGAUAAGUAGACCGCCUGGGGAGUACGGUCGCAAGACUAAAACUCAAAUGAAUUGACGGGG